Molecule: ribosomal RNA, 274 nt
Filed under: uncultured bacterium
Lineage: Bacteria
Description: partial 16S ribosomal RNA
Rfam family: Bacterial small subunit ribosomal RNA
Source: RNAcentral
AUACAGAGGGUGCGAGCGUUAAUCGGAAUUACUGGGCGUAAAGCGCGCGUAGGCGGCUUGGUCAGUCGGAUGUGAAAGCCCCGGGCUCAACCUGGGAAUGGCAUUCGAUACUGCCAGGCUAGAGAAUGGGAGAGGGAAGUGGAAUUUCCGGUGUAGCGGUGAAAUGCGUAGAUAUCGGAAGGAACACCAGUGGCGAAGGCGACUUCCUGGCCCAAUACUGACGCUGAGGUGCGAAAGCGUGGGGAGCGAACAGGAUUAGAAACCCUUGUAGUCC